This 490-nucleotide ribosomal RNA is filed under the name uncultured bacterium. RNAcentral's name for it is "partial 16S ribosomal RNA". It matches the Rfam family "Bacterial small subunit ribosomal RNA", at positions 30 to 507 of the family's 1533-position model. The record is from RNAcentral.
AUUGAACGCUGGCGGCAGGCCUAACACAUGCAAGUCGAACGGUAACAGGAAACAGCUUGCUGUUUCGCUGACGAGUGGCGGACGGGUGAGUAAUGUCUGGGAAACUGCCUGAUGGAGGGGGAUAACUACUGGAAACGGUAGCUAAUACCGCAUACCGUCGCAAGACCAAAGAGGGGGACCUUCGGGCCUCUUUCCAUCGGAUGUGCCCCGAUGGGAUUAGCUAGUAGGUGGGGUAACGGCUCACCUAGGCGAGGAUCCCUAGCUGGUCUGAGAGGAUGACCAGCGACACUGGAACUGGGACACGGUCCAGACUCCUACGGGAGGCAGCAGUGGGGAAUAUUGCACAAUGGGCGCAAGCCUGAUGCAGCCAUGCCGAGUGUAUGAAGAAGGCCUUCGGUUUGUAAAGUACUUUCAGCGGGGAGGAAGGGAGUAAAGUUAAUACCUUUACUCAUUGACGUUACCCGCAGAAGAAGCACCGGCUAACUCCGUG